Molecule: ribosomal RNA, 497 nt
Filed under: uncultured bacterium
Lineage: Bacteria
Description: partial 16S ribosomal RNA
Rfam family: Bacterial small subunit ribosomal RNA
Source: RNAcentral
GACGAACGCUGGCGGCGUGCCUAACACAUGCCAGUCGAGCGCUGAAGGCUGGUACUUGUACCGACUGGUUGAGCAGCGGACGGGUGGUUAACGCGUGUUGAAUCUGCCUUUGAGCGGGGGACAACAUUUGGAAACGAAUGCUAAUACCGCAUAAAAACUUUAAACACAAGUUUUAAGUUUUAAAGAUGCAAUUUCAUCACUUAAAGAUGAUCCCGCGUUGUAUUAGCUAGGUGGUGGGGUAAAGGCUCACCAAGGCGAUGAUACAUAGCCGACCUGAGAGGGUGAUCGGCAUAGUUGGGACUGGGACAUGACCCGACAUCCUACGGGAGGCAGCAGUAGGGGAUCUUUGGCGAUGGAAGCAAGGCUGAACGUUGGACGCCGCGCGAGAGCAGGAGGCUGUCGGGUCGUGAAAGUCUGUUAGUAGUGAAGAACGUAAAGGAGAGUGGAACGCUCAGAUAGUGACGGUACCGACAGAGAAAGGUCCGGCUAACUACGUG